AAUAAGUACAGUUUUGCACUGUUCAUGUCCAAUGCUUUACCGUUCGUCUUAUUUGAAAAAAAAAUUGUGAUUAGUAUUUUUAUUAUUAUUAGAUGAUAAAACAUGAAUAAUACUUUAUGUAAGACUAUUUUUUAAAAAAAAUAUAAAAUUUUUAAAUAAGACUGACGGUCAAAUGUUGGACAUGAGUACCCACGACUGUAUUUAUU
Oryza glumipatula is the source of this 206-nucleotide non-coding RNA. Lineage: Eukaryota; Viridiplantae; Streptophyta; Magnoliopsida; Poales; Poaceae. The record is from Rfam.